UUCCGGUUGAUCCUGCCGGACCCUACUGCUAUCGGGGUGGGACUAAGACAUGCAAGUUGUGCGUCUCUAAGCUAUGGUAGAGACGCGGCGUACGGCUCAGUAACACGUGGCUAACCUACCCUUAGGACGGGGACAACCCCGGGAAACUGGGGCUAAUAUCUGAUAGGUGAGGAGGCCUGGAAUGGUUCCUCCCUGAAAAGGCGUUGAAACCAUGCUUUUCAGCGUCGCCUAAGGAUGGGGCCGCGUCCGAUCAGGUUGUUGGUGGGGUGACGGCUCACCAAGCCAUUAACCGGUACGGGCCGUGAGAGCGGGAGCCCGGAGAUGGGCACUGAGACAAGGGCCCAGGCCCUACGGGGCGCAGCAGUCGCGAAAACUCCGCAAUGCGCGAAAGCGUGACGGGGCUACCCCGAGUGCCGUCCGCUGAGGAUGGCUUUUCCCCGGUGUAAUGAGCCGGGGGAAUAAGGAGAGGGCAAGACUGGUGUCAGCCGCCGCGGUAAUACCAGCUCUCCGAGUGGUAGGGACAAUUAUUGGGCUUAAAGCGUCCGUAGCCGGCUUGGCAAGUCUUCUGUUAAAUUCAGCGACUUAAUCGUUGAGCCGCGGGAGAUACUACUAGGCUAGGAGGCGGGAGAGGCCGACGGUAUUCCCGGGGUAGGGGUGAAAUCCUAUAAUCCCGGGAGGACCACCAGUGGCGAAGGCUGUCGGCUAGAACGCGCUCGACGGUGAGGGACGAAAGCUGGGGGAGCGAACCGGAUUAGAUACCCGGGUAGUCCCAGCCGUAAACGAUGCGGGCUAGGUGUUGAGGUGGCUACGAGCCACUUCAGUGCCGCAGGAAGCCAUUAAGCCCGCCGCCUGGGGAGUACGGGCCGCAAGGCUGAACUUAAAGGAAUUGGCGGGGGAGCAUCACAAGGCGUGCAGCUUGCGUUCAAUUGGAUUCAACGCCGGA
This 943-nucleotide ribosomal RNA is filed under the name uncultured archaeon. RNAcentral's name for it is "bacterial SSU rRNA". It matches the Rfam family "Archaeal small subunit ribosomal RNA", at positions 1 to 922 of the family's 1478-position model. The record is from RNAcentral.